GAUGAACGCUGGCGGCGUGCCUAAUACAUGCAAGUCGAGCGAACAGACGAGGAGCUUGCUCCUCUGACGUUAUCGGCGGACGGGUGAGUAACACGUGGAUAACCUACCUAUAAGACUGGGAUAACUUCGGGAAACCGGAGCUAAUACCGGAUAAUAUAUUGAACCGCAUGGUUCAAUAGUUAAAGACGGUUUUGCUGUCACUUAUAGAUGGAUCCGCGCCGCAUUCGCUAGUUGGUAAGGUAACGGGUUACCAAGGCAACGAGGCGUAGCCGACCUGAGAGGGUGGAUGGCCACAUGGGAACAGAGACAGGGCCCAGACUCCUACAGUAGGAAGCAGUAGGGAAUCUUCCGCAAUGGACGAAAGCCUGACGGAGCAACGCCGCGUGAGUGAUGAUGGUCUUCGGAUCGUAAAACUAUGUUAUUAGGGAAGAACAAAUGUGUAAGUAACUAUGCACGUAUUGACGGUACCUAAUCAGAAAGCCACGGCUAACUACGUG
This 497-nucleotide ribosomal RNA is filed under the name uncultured bacterium. RNAcentral describes it as "partial 16S ribosomal RNA". It matches the Rfam family "Bacterial small subunit ribosomal RNA", at positions 28 to 507 of the family's 1533-position model. The record is from RNAcentral.